RNAcentral lists this ribosomal RNA (383 nucleotides) under Quercus ithaburensis subsp. macrolepis. The record is from RNAcentral. Lineage: Eukaryota; Viridiplantae; Streptophyta; Magnoliopsida; Fagales; Fagaceae.
CUCCUGGGAAGUCCUCGUGUUGCACCCCUCUCUUUUUCUUCGCGUUUUUUUCGUUGGGGUUGUCGUUUGCGGCGGUCCAGCACGCUCGCUCUGCAUGCACCCCUUUGAUCUUCCCUGCAUUUAUUUUUUUUCUCGCUGGGCUUAUCGUGUACGUCGGUCCGGCACGCUCGCUUUGGAGGCUUAGCCCGCCCCAGGCCAAAAGCACGAGCCGCAGAUCGAUCUCGUUUCGGGUGCUAAAGCGUCGCGGGGACGUCGAAAUGCGCGGAAGCCCCUCGGGCUGCACCUCUCCGGCGGUAAGGUGCAUCGUUGCGUUCGGAUCCUUUUAUAAGAAUUAAACGCGCUUAUGCUGAUGGGUGCGAUCAUACCAACACUAAUGCACCGGA